CAAGGGCGUAUAUUAACGUUGUUGCAGUUAAAAAGCUCGUAGUUGGAUUUCUGGAGGGAGCGUCGGCCCGUAUUUACGAGUGCGUGACGUCUCUGUCCAUCCUUGCGGGAAGGCACGGCAUUGAUUUGUUGUGUCGGAUCGCAUCAUUUACUGUGAAAAAAUUAGAGUGUUCAAAGCAGGCUUUCGCUUGAAUACAUUAGCAUGGAAUAAUAAGAUAGGACUUUGGUGCUAUUUUGUUGGUUGAGCCUAAAGUAAUGAUUAAUAGGGAUAGUUGGGGGCACCUGUAUUGCGUUGUCAGAGGUGAAAUUCUUGGAUUUACGCAAGACAAACAGCUGCGAAAGCGUCUGCCAAGGAUGUUUUCAUUA
Molecule: ribosomal RNA, 365 nt
Filed under: uncultured eukaryote
Lineage: Eukaryota
Description: partial 18S ribosomal RNA
Rfam family: Eukaryotic small subunit ribosomal RNA
Source: RNAcentral